CCCCCAUUUCGACCUUCUUUUGCUAGUUAGGGCUCCAAACCGUGCGCACUCGUCGACUAUUGCCUCCUCUGUUCAGUGGCAGACUGAUGCCUCCUUCGUCCAGUGGCAGACUGCGGCCUCCUCCGUUGUUUAGCCUCCUCUGUCCGUUAGCAGAAGUCUGUCUUCUCUGGCCAUCAUCUAUAUGCUCUCGACAUCUUCACUGCUCACAAAUAGGUACAUUAUCUUGUGGCUCAGAAAUUUAUAUUAGGGAUUUAGUUUCCAAUUUGGGGCUUUAUGCAAAGAUGACAAUCUCUUUUGUCCUAGAUCUGUUCUUGAUUUACAAUUUGAUUUUUUUUUGUCGGUUACGUGAUGUUUUUGUGGGAGAUUUGUUUGGUUUCCGUUUUCGAUUUUUUUUUCGAUUAUAAAGGUAAAGAAAAGAAAGCAAAUAGAGGAGGAAUUGAGAGAAUCAUGUAGCAAGGGAGCGUGCGACUUUGUUCCAGGUAACCUUAUGCCAAUGAUAUAAUUCCUCACAUUCUAAAUUUGUGAGUUUGAUCUUUUCUUCUCUGUAUAUCUUUGCGUUAUUCUUGAACUAAUGUUUGUUUUCAGUAGAUUUGACACAAUUGUGAGGGUUAGAAGUAGAGAUGAGCUUAAUGAAAUUCAGGCACACCAAUGAAAUUGAAUGAAUUCCCAUUCAAACUGGCCACAAUACCAUCUAUGCUGAGAGAUGAUCUGAAUGAUCUAAAGGGUUUUGGUUGGGGAACUUGUUGAGAAGACUUGAUAUACAUAGGUUUUACCUGCCAUUGCAAUUGUUUUUCCAAGGUAUAGCCAUCAUCAAGCACGGUGGUUGACUCUAAAAUAUUUCAUCCCACUUAAUUUGAUUUUUGCCUAUGCAGCCAUGCUGGAAUUCAGGUGAAGUUAUUGUUUCCACCUGCUGGAUUGUUUUGUUUUUAGUUUGUGAUCGUCUUAAUAUACAAAAUCAACCCAAACAUGAUAUGAACAGGGUACUUCUCAACCUGCUGACUACCAGGUGCUCAAGUUCUUUGAUCACAUGUCAGUAGUUUAAAUUGUUUCUGUGAUGUUUAUAUAGCUUCUAUGGAGCUAAGUAGUGUAUAGAUAACCAUGUUGAUUUAGUUCAGGAUUGAAGUCAAGGCAUUCUAAGGUAAAAUUUCUGUUCAUAGAUAAAAUAUGUAAGCUAUUUCAUUGAAGAUCUCGUUGGUUAUUUAUCUAUGAUUUUGAUUAACCUCCCAUUCAAAUGAGUUUUUGACAUAUGUUUUUUUUAUUAUUGGUUCACCAGGUUUGAAAUUGAUCAAGCGAAGCACGUACCUAGUACAGUUCUUCACACAUUGGGGUAGCCCUUACAUCAUCUACGUUGCUAGUAAGUUGAAGGUGUUAUAUUGAGGAUGCUGGAGUGAUGAGAUUAGAUUAAGAGUCGAACAAUGUAUUGGUGUAAUGUAUUUUGGAGUUGUGUUAUUGUCUUGUAGAUUCCAACAAUGUAUUCUUGGAAUAUUUGAUUUUAAUAAAUAAGAGUUGAACAAUGUAUUUGUGUAA
Molecule: long non-coding RNA, 1527 nt
Organism: Tripterygium wilfordii
Lineage: Eukaryota; Viridiplantae; Streptophyta; Magnoliopsida; Celastrales; Celastraceae
Exons: 3
Source: RefSeq, a predicted model, not a curated record